GGGGACUUCAACAGCCAGCUUCUAAAGGCCUUGGAAUCUACUGGAAAGUAAUGAGCUACAUUGGGAGUUGAAUGGGACAAGCUAAGUUCGACCAACAAUUUGAUGAGCCAUUAAAAUUUGCUUUGAGUAGCUGAAAAAGUCUUGGAAGCUUUAAUGAGAAGUUUUGGAGACUCCACCGACCAUGCAAUGUGAAUUUAUGAAAGAGGAUUUUCACCCUUGCAAUGCACGACGGGAUGCUUGGAAAAUAUCAAC
This 252-nucleotide long non-coding RNA is filed under the name Gossypium barbadense (sea-island cotton). RNAcentral describes it as "long non-coding RNA (GBAR_LNC021621)". Lineage: Eukaryota; Viridiplantae; Streptophyta; Magnoliopsida; Malvales; Malvaceae. The record is from RNAcentral.